CCAGUUUGAACAACAAAAACAUAAUCUAAGCUUUCCAAACAUAUUUUAACAAUAAAAUCUCACCACAAAAAUAUUUAUAAAUCAUCAUCAAUGGUAUUUAAACUUACUGAGCAUUGUGCAUUCAUGUUUUGAGUCUUCGAGUCUUCGAUCUUUAUCUCUUCUUCUUCAAACAUUCAAGACUUCGACUAACUUCACGAAAUAUGCCAACAUAAAAUCCGUAACAAAAUCAAAUCAAUUUCGAUAAUAUUUUCCACCCAUAGUUGACACCCCUUAUGAA
This 277-nucleotide long non-coding RNA is filed under the name Ananas comosus (pineapple). RNAcentral describes it as "long non-coding RNA (ACOM_LNC044477)". The record is from RNAcentral. Lineage: Eukaryota; Viridiplantae; Streptophyta; Magnoliopsida; Poales; Bromeliaceae.